GUAGGGUACUGCCUGGUGGGAGCUAGGAAAUGACCUGGAAGCAUCUUUGGGGUUAAACUGUUCAGAAACGGUUUAAACCCUGAAGGUAACAUUUCUGCAGGAGGACUCCUAGCACAAUAAGGCAUCAUAACUUAAUUUAGAUUAAGUUUUUAUUAUGCCUAUACUGUCCCUUUAAUAAAUUAUGGUUUAUGUUAGUCCAAUUAAAAGGUAUUGUAUUU
This is a non-coding RNA of Pelobates cultripes (western spadefoot toad), 218 nucleotides long. The record is from the annotation of a GenBank genome assembly. Lineage: Eukaryota; Metazoa; Chordata; Amphibia; Anura; Pelobatidae.